This 63-nucleotide transfer RNA is filed under the name Myadora brevis. RNAcentral's name for it is "tRNA-Leu". The record is from RNAcentral. Lineage: Eukaryota; Metazoa; Mollusca; Bivalvia; Myochamidae.
UUUAGGGUGGCAGAUAAUGAUAUGCGUCAGAUUUAAGACCUGGAGAUGGGGGUACCCCCUCCU